AGGCCAUUGGCUUGAUUACUGAGACUCCUGGGGCAUACCCACAAUAUCUUUAUAAGUUUUUCUUCAAUGCAAAUUGUGGCAGUCCCAUAUCUGCCAUGCAGAUUCCCUUCUAUUCAAGUGCUAUCUUAAAAAAAAAACCACACACACAAUAAGACACACCUUACUAAUUUUUAAACCAGAAAGCUUCCCUUCACAAAAUCUUCUCCCACAGAAAGGAGCACAAUGUAUACAGUUUAUCAGUUAUUACAAUGACUUUUUAACUUUUAAAGGCUAUUCCUACAAAAUGCUUUACCCCCACUGCCCUUGUUGUAAUGACCACUAUUGCUGUUUGCAAUUAAUACCAGUACAGCGAAAUGCCCCAGGGCAGUUAGAUGUAGGGUGAAUCUAAUGAAAGUAGCUACAGAAAUUUAGUCAUCAGUUACCUUUGACUGCUUAGAUUGACUAGGUGAAAUCAAACGUUGCUUAAAACACCUGUCUACCACAUAACAAAGUGCUGCUCUGCACAACCUGAGAACUGCCCUGGCCACAGUCCCCUCCAAAAUAAACCUACGGGACUUUAUUCUACCACUGACCUCUUAGUUAUGUCUUCCGUUGAAACAGCAUUUUUUUUUUUUUAAGAAUGUGAAUUCUGAGUAUAAAUUACGGAUUGCACUGAGAAAUGCAGGAAAAGCGUAACUACAUGCAGCUGCUGGAUAGAGAUGUCAUAAACAGGUCCAGUAAAUAGCAAGAUGGUGGACAGAGCGUGAAGCGAUUGUUCACAAGGCAAUAAAGUCAGCAAAAUACCGUCUGAGACUUAACUGAGGGGACUGGCCUUUGUAGGAGGGCAACUUCAGCUCCUUGUAGCGAAGAGCUUGGUGAAUGUCAGCGGCCAGCUGUCCUCGCCACCACUGCCCCUCCAGCUCCAUGGGACCUAGCGGCGUGCCCAGCAGGGCGCGGCAACUCACAGCCGGAAGCCGGAAGAGUCCGGGACCUCGGCCGUCACAGCCCCCGCCCCGCCAAGCGGGGGACACCGGCCAGGCUCCUGCUGCAGACAGUAGCUGCUAAAAGCCAGCCUCAGUUCGUGCCACCCAUUGUUAAAGGACCGGCAGGCAGCUCUCUACAUUAUGUCUCAGGACUUGACGGUUGGAGCCAUCACCAUAAGGAGAAGGCCAAGAGAACCUCAGAUGUGUGA
RNAcentral lists this long non-coding RNA (1171 nucleotides) under Callithrix jacchus (white-tufted-ear marmoset). RNAcentral's name for it is "lncRNA (ENSCJAG00000071152.1)". Lineage: Eukaryota; Metazoa; Chordata; Mammalia; Primates; Cebidae. The record is from RNAcentral.